This 438-nucleotide ribosomal RNA is filed under the name uncultured bacterium. RNAcentral's name for it is "bacterial SSU rRNA". It matches the Rfam family "Bacterial small subunit ribosomal RNA", at positions 954 to 1392 of the family's 1533-position model. The record is from RNAcentral.
GCAGAACGCGAAGAACCUUACCAACCCUUGACAUGGCAGGACGGUUACCAGAGAUGGUUUCCUUCACUUCGGUGACCUGCACACAGGUGCUGCAUGGCUGUCGUCAGCUCGUGUCGUGAGAUGUUGGGUUAAGUCCCGCAACGAGCGCAACCCUCGCCCUUAGUUGCCAUCAUUUAGUUGGGCACUCUAAGGGGACUGCCGGUGAUAAGCCGGAGGAAGGUGGGGAUGACGUCAAGUCUUCAUGGCCCUUACGGGUUGGGCUACACACGUGCUACAAUGGCGGUGACAGAGGGCUGCUAGUCCGCGAGGACAUGCUAAUCCCUAAAAGCCGUCUCAGUUCGGAUUGCACUCUGCAACUCGAGUGCAUGAAGUCGGAAUCGCUAGUAAUCGCAGAUCAGCACGCUGCGGUGAAUACGUUCCCGGGUCUUGUACACACCG